CUCGCUGCUCCGCGGCCUUCCGCCCGCUCCGUCACUCACGCGGCGCGGUGGGAGGGCCCUGCGGCGGGGCCGGCCCUGCGGCGGCUCCCCGGGCGGGAGGGGCCGCAGCUGCUCCCCCCGCGGCUGAGGAGGGCCGGGAGGCGGCGGGAGGGGCCGCGCUGCCGCUCGGCGCGGUGCCCGGGGCAGGGAGUUGAUGAUUAACCCGCGGGCCACCGAGUACUUGCCUAAAGUCGCGCCCAGGGUGGGGUUUAACCUUGUCCCGGGCUCGGUGCCUCCCGUGUGACCCUGGGGCGGGCAGUUGUGCUGCUGCCGCCGAAGCGCUGCGGGGAUGCGCAGCUCCCUGUUGAACAAUCUCUGCUCUGAGUCUCAGCCUAGAGCUCGUUUUUGGAGGCUCAGGAGGUCGAGGUGAUGUGGGGGUCUCGGCGAGCGAAUGUGCGCCACAGCCGCGGGCUGCAGUAGCUCGAGUGCUGGUGGCUGGCGCUUGAAUCCAUGCUGGCCUCUUUUCCUCGGGCUGAGCCGCAAGGAGCUCAGCAGCUGCGGCAUUUAGUUCAAUUACUUCAGAUGAUCUGUAAAUUUUCAAUAAUGGCAAUACAUUCAUUCUGCCAUUUGGAGGAGCCUGUGCCACAGAAUAAUGAUCUGAAGAAAGCUCACUUAUUUGCAAGGAAGAGUCUUCAUUUGGGAAGCAGCACUGAUGCAGCUCAAGGGUGCUUUUCCAAGUCCAGAUUCUUUCAGCAGAACUGACACAACCUCUGGUACAAGGAUAAAAUUGGAUAAAAGAACAGAGUCAUGUAUCUGAAGAGUAAGAAGAAACCAUUUUGAUAGGUGUGGGUUGCUUGUCAGAAAUCCGUUCCAGAGCUUGAGUGCAAAGGAAGCAGGGUACUUAUGAUGAAUAAGAAUGGAUAUCUUGAGGAUAACAAUCGAUGUGGCAUCUUCAAAAGCAUGGCAUUCUGGACCUAGUCCUGCAACUGGAUUUGUUUAAAUGGAGCUCGAUAGCCUGGGGGCCUGAUGAAGUUCCUGGGACUCUGGUGACUGCAAGUUCUCACUCUGAAGAUUUGAUUGUAGGCCUGAACCUAAAUUUCUAUUUUGUUCUCCUGUCUAUUUGCUUCUAAAAUGAUGGAAAUUAUCCUUUAAAAUGGUGAUGUCUUUAAGUCUCAUGCACAUCCACUUAAGUAGUGUUCAGUGUUUGGGAUGUUGACAGACAUUGUUAAAAUAUUUCUAUUCUGUUGUGUGCCUGAACAUCAAGAUUGCUCUGAUUGUUGUGUUAGAUUUUUACAUUUAGUGGCUUUCUUCCUAAAAUGGAGAUCAUCACCUGUGUUUUCAAUCGUUGUGGUAUUUCUCUUAACUCAGAUUUUUAAGUCAGAGUAACUGUUGAAACUGUUCAGGUUAUUAUAAGUAAAUUUGUUUAUUUCUUGCUGGAUAAAAAUAUUUUAUUUUGCAAACUUGGUAGCCUCGUAUUACUGAAAGCUUUCAAUAUGAUGAUACUGUGAUGUAAUAAAAUAAGCAGGAAAAGACAUUACCUUUUA
Long non-coding RNA from Oenanthe melanoleuca, 1523 nucleotides. RefSeq lists it as uncharacterized. Lineage: Eukaryota; Metazoa; Chordata; Aves; Passeriformes; Muscicapidae. The transcript has 5 exons. The record is from RefSeq and is a predicted model, not a curated record.